This 1281-nucleotide long non-coding RNA is filed under the name Calidris pugnax (ruff). RNAcentral describes it as "lncRNA (ENSCPUG00000004286.1)". Lineage: Eukaryota; Metazoa; Chordata; Aves; Charadriiformes; Scolopacidae. The record is from RNAcentral.
GUUUUGUUGUUGUUUGCCCUGCCUUUGCUAGGCCUACGAGAAGAUCUGAUUUACUGCCUUACUCUUACCCAACCGUGGGACACUCUUGUGGCUUUAACUGUUUGACAUAUCCUUAAGAAUGGUUUUCAUUUGAUUUUUAAAGCGUAAUUGAUCAAAUGAAGGGAAGUUUACUGGCCCAUAUGCUUGACCCUUAUUUAAUGACUAGGAGCUUUUCCUGCUCUGUAACCCAUUUGUUCUUGCUGAGCUUUCUAGCUGCCUUUUCAUACUUUUAAAGUGGUUUUUGGAUGAUGUAACGCGGACUGUCCCAUUUGAUAGUGUGGAUUUAACACCGUUUACCUCAGUCCGGCUCCGACAGUUUUACCAGCUGAGGAUUUGACCCUGAUCUCUGCUGCUUUAAUUUCACACAGGCUCCUUUCCAGCAUCUCUGGUCAAGGUUAAAUGAGCAUUUCACGGCAGUCGGAGAAAAACACCGUUGGUUCAUUCUCUAGUCUACAUGCGAGCCUUGAUUUUAUUCCUGUCUGUUCAGAGAUGUCUGUGUCAAGUGCCAAGCAGCUAUCUAAACACUGAAUAUCUCCUUGUAAUAGAAUUACACAGUUCCCUUAAAACCGUGUUUGAAUUCCAAGUUUUAAGGUAGCAACAUGAAUCGGCUGUACCAGAGUGUCUGUGGUGGUAAAUGAAAGAUGAAGGUGACACACAUAUGUGACGUAGCUCCUGAGGUUAUUUUGCUACUUAUAUGUGUCGUAGCCUCUUUGUCACAUGGUUUUUAUCCUUUUCUAGUGUGAAAGUGCUGUGUGUGUACCAGCAGCAGGGCCAUCAUGUGAAGAAAUGUCAUUACGUACGUGUGAGGAGUCCUCUCUGUGAGGAAAGAUGCUCUUUUCUACAUUGCCAAAUUCCGUCUCAGACUGAUGCAGAGCGGUUUCAGAAGGUUGUGUUCAUACCUCUGCACGGGCACCUGGCCCUUGAAGAGGGAAGCUCUGGUGUGCAGCCCCCAGCUUUGCCCCAUUCCGGGUCUCAAGACAGGAGGAACUGGGAGCCGGAUUCCAAACUGAUUUGGGCUAAUGAUGUCCAUUGGCCUCAUUGCCUCUGUCAAGAACUGUAUAAAGCAACAGCUGGAAAAGCACUGAGUCCACAGCAUAUCCAGAGACCUCUUUGAUGAUUUCUACUCUUAUGCCAGUCUGUGUUUCAGUUGCUGAGCACCAUUUACAAACGCUGUGUAGUGCUGGCUGUAAGAGAAGCAGAUGGGCCGUUGUGUCAAAGGUCCAGUUCCUUCCUGAAGUUUUA